GACGAACGCUGGCGGCGUGCUUAACACAUGCAAGUCGAACGGUAAGGCCCUUCGGGGUACACGAGUGGCGAACGGGUGAGUAACACGUGGGUGAUCUGCCCUGCACUUCGGGAUAAGCCUGGGAAACUGGGUCUAAUACCGGAUAGGACCACUGCCUGCAUGGGUGGUGGUUGAAAGCUUUUGCGGUGUGGGAUGGGCCCGCGGCCUAUCAGCUUGUUGGUGGGGUGAUGGCCUACCAAGGCGACGACGGGUAGCCGGCCUGAGAGGGUGACCGGCCACACUGGGACUGAGAUACGGCCCAGACUCCUACGGGAGGCAGCAGUGGGGAAUAUUGCACAAUGGGCGCAAGCCUGAUGCAGCGACGCCGCAUGAGGGAUGACGGCCUUCGGGUUGUAAGCCUCUUUCAGCACCGACGAAGCGCAAGUGACGGUAGGUGCGGAAGAAGGACCGGCCAACUACGUGCCAGCCGCCGCGGUAA
Molecule: ribosomal RNA, 478 nt
Filed under: uncultured bacterium
Lineage: Bacteria
Description: partial 16S ribosomal RNA
Rfam family: Bacterial small subunit ribosomal RNA
Source: RNAcentral